Molecule: long non-coding RNA, 2184 nt
Organism: Triticum aestivum (bread wheat)
Lineage: Eukaryota; Viridiplantae; Streptophyta; Magnoliopsida; Poales; Poaceae
Exons: 5
Source: RefSeq, a predicted model, not a curated record
GGAAGGCAGUGGCGCCGGCGAGUGCCUUUCGCCGGAGUCCCGUGCGGCUUUGACCUGCGCGAGGCUCCGUCGAGCUGUGCUCGUCCGUGCCCUUUGCGAGGCUGGCGUGCGCGUGCGGGACGGCGACGACGACGAACGUGCGAGGGGGCAUGGCCACCGGCCGGUGCGGCGGACGGCGAGGCCGCCCGAGCUGGCUCGCGGACGUUAGAUGGUUGCCACGGCGGUGCCACAGCCCCAAGACUUGAGGAAAUGUCGCCCGCAGGUUGUGUAUGCUGGGAAGGCUGGUGAUGCAAGAUAUCAGGCGAAUCCUCAGACCUCUUCUUAUGGUUUAAAUAAAAUUUGAAAAUGGAAGGGCUGUCUGUACUCAUUUCAAGCACCAAUGCAACAAGAAAUAAUCGACUUCAUUGGUGUUGAAGAGGAGGUAGAUAUAUCAGGCAGCUAUUUAAGAGCAGUGGAAAGGAGGUUUCUGGUUAUACUCACUGUGAGCUGUAUCUUUCUUUUUUAUUGGGAUUAAGUUGUGGCCUUAUCCCUUUUGCAAAUCUCAAUUUUGCUUGAGGAGUGAUUGACCUGUCGGAAAACACUCGCAGCAAGCUAUUGGAUUCUCCACAAUAAAUCCACUUAUCAGAGGUUAUACUCUUUCCCAUGAACUUUACUUCGCUCAGAGGCCCCUUUCCAAAAUAGUUACAGCUAAUGGCAUUGGCAGAUCAGAUUAUACUUUUGGAAGUAAAGAUGACUUUGCUAGGCCUGAAUAUUUCAAUGGACACGAUGCGAUAGUGGCAGUCAAUGUUCAUCAGGGAUUUAACAAAGAGGAUUCCCUGAUCAUGAAGAGUUUCUCUUGAAUGGUGCAUGUUUAGAUUGAACUCAUGCGGAGCUAUAAGGCAGAAGUAGAGACCAAAUGGCCCAAAUAACGACUGGCAAUGAAGGAAAAUUUAGACUUUGGUAGAAUUUAAAGCAAGGGACGAAGAGUUGACAAUCUUGAUGACGAUGGAUCACCACAUGUGGGUGCAAUCCUCAGAGUGGUGACACUGUCAUUGGGGAAGUGGCAGAAUCUGGUGAAGACCAUAGGCUGAUUCUUUUUCUUAUGUGAGUGAUAUGGUAGAGAGAGGUGCAUUCACUCGUACGCAUGUUUGAUCUCAUGUUUGCGAGGCGCAAUGGGCUAGUAGUUUUAAACCAACCGAACAGCAAAAACUUGCAAACAUAUUAUAAUAAUACUUAGUUCUGGAUAUGUGGGUACUAAAGGGACGUGUUACCCUGUUAUAUUUUCCUCUUGAAUAUAGUGAAUUGCCAAGGAACAUCAUGAAUGAUGUUUUUUCUACUCCUAGAAAACUGCAUCGUAUCAUGUAGGAUUGGAAAUGGACAAAAAUAGCAUGAGAACAGAAAUUCUGAGAUGGAUGUAUACAGAACUCAACACAUCUUUGAUUUAAUACACAGCCUAAGGGUUCCUGACACUAAAAGCCCCAACAUGAGAUCAAAGGCUGUGCCUCUGGUUCUAUAUUAACCAUGUCUUUAUAUUUUGCAUUUUUGUCAGUGACUAACCUGUGUGUGCUUUGGCUGGAAGAGUCAUUGUCCAGUCCUAGUGCUUGAUAUGAGAUGUCGGUUAUCCGAAAGUCUGUAAUGCCAGAGAACAAAUGAGUUUUCGUUGAAAUAUUUCUCAAGGCAGCUGGGCAACUGUUUCGUUUGGAGAAAACAAUGCUGUCAACUGGAAAGGAAAAGCCACACAGACACACCGUCAACAUAUUGUGCAUUGAUGGUUGGCAUAUUUGGCGGAACGCAGGCGGCACACACAAGAUGUUACAGCAAAAAAGUUUCUGAUAUGUGCAAAGAAGAAGCGGGGCAUCAAUGUUUCAAUAGACAUUGCUGGACUCCACCUCCAGGCAUGGUGCUACUCAUUCUCAGGCUGACUUUUCUGAAAGAUCAUGUUAACAGCUUGACCUCUAACUCAUCUCCAUUAAGAUGGCAAGGGGAAUUGGGACACGCAUUAAGGUGUAUGGUAACAUUGUUCGUUAGAUUUAUGUGAAUAAUUGUAUUUACCCUUUUUUUCAUUGUUGUUAAGAAGCAUUAUCUAUCACUUCAAAAAAGAGAGGAAGCAUCAAUUAUGUGUGGUAACAAUGAGGUUUAAUGAAGUUACACGUCAGGAGGAGCACCCCAGCCACCAGUCCAUUUUAUUCUCUUUAUAUUAAGUUA